This 447-nucleotide ribosomal RNA is filed under the name uncultured bacterium. RNAcentral describes it as "bacterial SSU rRNA". It matches the Rfam family "Bacterial small subunit ribosomal RNA", at positions 331 to 793 of the family's 1533-position model. The record is from RNAcentral.
CCAGACUCCUACGGGAGGCAGCAGUGGGGAAUAUUGGGCAAUGGGCGCAAGCCUGACCCAGCAACGCCGCGUGAAGGAAGAAGGCUUUCGGGUUGUAAACUUCUUCUGACAGGGAAGAGUAGAAGACGGUACCUGUCGAAUAAGCCACGGCUAACUACGUGCCAGCAGCCGCGGUAAUACGUAGGUGGCAAGCGUUGUCCGGAUUUACUGGGUGUAAAGGGCGUGUAGGUGGGCGCUUAAGUCAGGUGUGAAAACUCCGGGCUCAACCUGGAGACUGCACUUGAAACUGGGUGUCUUGAGGGCAGGAGAGGAAAGUGGAAUUCCUAGUGUAGCGGUGAAAUGCGUAGAUAUUAGGAGGAACACCAGUGGCGAAGGCGACUUUCUGGACUGUACCUGACGCUGAGGCGCGAAAGCGUGGGGAGCAAACAGGAUUAGAUACCCGCGUAC